CAGUCGAACGGAUAUCUUCGGAUAUGAGUGGCGAACGGGUGAGUAACACGUAUGUAACCUGCCUGCAUGAGCGGGAGAACUUCUGGAAACGGAAGCUGAUACCGGAUGAGCAAAGAGGAGGCAUCUUCUUUUUGGAAAAGGGGACAAGAGUCCCGCAUGCAGAUGGACCUGCGGUGCAUUAGCUGGUUGGAGAGGUAACGGCUCACCAAGGCGACGAUGCAUAGCCGGCCUGAGAGGGCGGACGGCCACACUGGGACUGAGACACGGCCCAGACUCCUGCGGGAGGCAGCAGUAGGGAAUUUUCGUCAAUGGGGGGAACCCUGAACGAGCAAUGCCGCGUGAGCGAGGAAGGUCUUCGGAUCGUAAAGCUCUGUUGCCGGGGACAAAAGGCAGAAAGAGUGGAAAGCUUUCUGAGUGAUGGUACCCGGCGAGGAAGUCACGGCUAACUACGUGCCAGCAGCCGCGGUAAUACGUAGGUGGCGAGCGUUAUCCGGAAUGAUUGGGCGUAAAGGGUGCGCAGGCGGCCGGGCAAGUCCGCAGUAAAAACUGGAGGCUCAACCUUCAGGGGCUGCGGAAACUGUCCGGCUGGAGAGCAGGAGAGGACGGUGGAACUCCAUGUGUAGCGGUAAAAUGCGUAGAUAUAUGGAAGAACACCGGUGGCGAAGGCGGCCGUCUGGCCUGCAUCUGACGCUGAGGCACGAAAGCGUGGGGAGCAAAUAGGAUUAGAUACCCUAGUAGUCCACGCUGUAAACGAUGAGGA
RNAcentral lists this ribosomal RNA (760 nucleotides) under uncultured bacterium. RNAcentral describes it as "bacterial SSU rRNA". It matches the Rfam family "Bacterial small subunit ribosomal RNA", at positions 59 to 815 of the family's 1533-position model. The record is from RNAcentral.